UUCUGGUUUAGAGGAGGGGGUGUUGGGGGUGGGGUGGGGGUGGGAGUGGUGGGCGUGGGUGGGUGGGGGGACAAAAGAAAAAAAAAAAAAAAAACCAAACCCGAGGAGAACUAGGCGGCUUUCUGAUCAGAGUUCAAAUAAAGAGGGUCACAGUCAUUUUCGGGCACUGCCUAAAAUAACCCGACGGGUUAGAGAGCUCCAGCAAAAGAGGCAAACUGACAAACUAAAAAAGCGCGGGAACAAUGCAGCAUUCAGGCAUAAUGAGCUGAAAGUGCCCGGUGCGCCAGGUCAAGUCAGCAGCCUCUGAGCUCCUCUCCAAGAUCCCGUUUGCCAAGGUAGGCCACGGAAAGGUCUCAUUUCAAAGGAAGGUCUGUGCUUAGGCAGGGAAAAUUGCAACAAGUCAAAAUAUGGAAAGCUGGGCACGCCAGACUGGUGGGUUUCGGCGACAUACAGAGAGCUGUGCUAAAACCCGCGCCAGACACCUGGUUCCUGGGACGUCGGCAGCUAGCCAUGAACGAGCUG
Molecule: long non-coding RNA, 522 nt
Filed under: Mustela putorius furo (domestic ferret)
Lineage: Eukaryota; Metazoa; Chordata; Mammalia; Carnivora; Mustelidae
Description: lncRNA (ENSMPUG00000031823.1)
Source: RNAcentral